Long non-coding RNA from Mirounga angustirostris (Northern elephant seal), 1246 nucleotides. RefSeq lists it as uncharacterized. The record is from RefSeq and is a predicted model, not a curated record. The transcript has 3 exons. Lineage: Eukaryota; Metazoa; Chordata; Mammalia; Carnivora; Phocidae.
AGCGGGUGUGAGCCCCCCCCUCCCCCGCCCGUCCACCGAAGGUCUUUUCCACCCCUCUUUGAGCCUCCGUAUCCCAAAUGAGAGCUUCUCCAUUAUCCUUAUUCUUAAAAGGACCGUGGCAUGGAGCAGGGCCUUUGGCUGACCUGUGAUGAACACGUGGCCUGACUCAGAAAGGAGCCCUGGUUAUUUUAACCUGCCGAGAUUUGGGGGAAUGUUUGUGACUGUGGCAUAAUGUAACCCCUUCACACUUAACGGGUGACCUGCAGACCAGCUGUAUCAGCCCUACCUGGGAGCUUGUGAGAAAUGCAGAAUCUUGGGCCCCCCCUCAGACCUCCUGAAUCAGAAUCUGCAUUUUGAUCUGUGUCCAUCUUAACUAUGAUCUGCGUGCAUGUUAACGAUCGCACAGUUAGCGCAUCCCGACUGACGCUCAGGGGAGGGAGGAAGCAUAGCUUAGUGGUCAAGACCAUGUGCGCGGAAGCCUGGCUUCUAGCAGCUCCGCGGACUGAUUCCUUGCCUCUCCAAGCAGGAGACCUCCCCAGGCCUGACCUAAGUGUUUGCAAAGCCACAUGAGUGAGCUCGGAAAUGGAUUUCCCUGUUGGGUCAUCAGAUGAGACUGCAGCCUUGCAGGCAAUUGAGAGUAACUUCUCAGAAGACCCGGAGCCCAAACCAUCCUGCUAAACUGCUCCCAGAUUGUUGACCUUCAGAACCUGCGAGAUAAGAGAUGUUUCUAGUUUUAGCCACUAAUUUUGGGUGGGGGGGCUUCUCCGUAACACAGUGGCAAUCAAUAAAUACAAACUUCGCUGCUUUAUGAUAAUGAUUGUUAAUGUGCAUUGGGACCUUUUAUUCUGUUCUAAUCACAAUCAUUCACCAGGCCUGGGGUCCAGAUUCUUGUAACUAGGCAGCAAGGUGCCUGUUUAGGGUCUCUUGUUUCUUUGAACAAUACAGAUCAUAAUCCUGCCUAUCAAAAGGGCUGUCCUAAGGAUUAGAGGGAAUAAAGUAUUCUAAGUGCCUAGUGCAGUGCCCCAAACAGAGUGGCUUUUUCACAACAACAACAACAACAAAAUUAGCUAUUAACCAGGGAGAAAAUGGGUUUUAAAUACUAUUUAUGCUUAAGAGGAUGACCCCAAGGAGACUAGAGAUAAUAGUUCCUCCCUGUGGCGUGCCAUAUUUCAUGUUCCUCUUGCUUUAAAGCGAUUCGCAAUUGCUUCAAUGCCCAGUUUUCCAAAACAACAGGCUUCUCUGCCAA